CGCUCAGAGGUAAACGGGUGGAGUUGAACUGCGAACCCCGAGAAUUCAACUGGUGAGUGUGGUAUGAGCUUGGCAUAAUGGUUGGCUUUGCGGGUCUGCUUAGCUGCAGGUCUUCACCUCUUGGUGGAGAUGCGCGAUACACUUGUCAAGUGGUGCGCGCUCGUUGAGUUACUCGGACAUGCUUGCCAGUGCACUUUCUCGGGGUGUUCACCACGACCGGCGCCGCUACUUGUCUAAUAUGGUUAAACCGGUCUUGCUUGGUCCUUGUGGCUUUGCUUGAUCGGGAUGGCAGGUAACUCGUUAACUUGUGUGUUGGCUUCGGUUGACAUGCGCUUGGUUUUCGAGUGUAAUCAGCUGACUGUAUUGGUGCUAUGUAGUGCGUCGGAGACGGCGGCUUGUGGUGUGUGCCUGCGUGCCUAUUUGCUGACGGAACCGGGUUUGGUUAUUUUGUUGCCUGUUCUGCAGGCCUGGUGAUGGCCCGGUUUCGCUUGGUGGAUGGGGGCGUGUGUGACACUUAUCAGGGCCUAUAGUCUGUGGUGUUGUGGUAGACUAUCCACCUGACCCGUCU
This 568-nucleotide ribosomal RNA is filed under the name Catatropis onobae. RNAcentral's name for it is "partial large subunit ribosomal RNA". Lineage: Eukaryota; Metazoa; Platyhelminthes; Trematoda; Plagiorchiida; Notocotylidae. The record is from RNAcentral.